RNAcentral lists this ribosomal RNA (492 nucleotides) under uncultured bacterium. Its description in RNAcentral is "partial 16S ribosomal RNA". It matches the Rfam family "Bacterial small subunit ribosomal RNA", at positions 28 to 507 of the family's 1533-position model. The record is from RNAcentral.
GACGAACGCUGGCGGCGUGCUUAACACAUGCAAGUCGAACGGAAAGGCCCCCACUUUUUUGGUGGGGGUGCUCGAGUGGCGAACGGGUGAGUAACACGUGGGUGAUCUGCCCUGUACUUCGGGAUAAGCUUGGGAAACUGGGUCUAAUACCGGAUAGGACCAUGGUUUAGUGUCUCAUGGUGGAAAAAUUAUUGUUUUGGUGCAGGAUGAGCUCGCGGCCUAUCAGCUUGUUGGUGGGGUAAUGGCCUACCAAGGCGUCGACGGGUAGCCGGCCUGGGAGGGUGGACGGCCACAUUGGGACUGAGAUACGGCCCAGACUCCGACGGGAGGCAGCAGUGGGGAAUAUUGCACAAUGGGCGCAAGCCUGAUGCAGCGACGCCGCGUGGGGGAUGACGGCCUUCGGGUUGUAAACUCCUUUCGUUAGGGACGAAGCCGCACCUUUUUUGGGUGUGGUGACGGUACCUUUGUUAAGAAGCACCGGCUAACUACGUG